UUUGGGGAAUUAGCUCAGCUGGGAGAGCGCCUGCUUUGCACGCAGGAGGUCAGCGGUUCGAUCCCGCUAUUCU
This 73-nucleotide transfer RNA is filed under the name Campylobacter lari NCTC 11845. Its description in RNAcentral is "tRNA-Ala". It matches the Rfam family "tRNA". Rfam says of the family: Transfer RNA (tRNA) molecules are approximately 80 nucleotides in length. Their secondary structure includes four short double-helical elements and three loops (D, anti-codon, and T loops). The record is from RNAcentral. Lineage: Bacteria; Pseudomonadati; Campylobacterota; Epsilonproteobacteria; Campylobacterales; Campylobacteraceae.